CGUCUAUAUACGUAUAGCAUAUCAAUAAGCGGAGGAAAAGAAACUAACAAGGAUUCCCUUAGUAACGGCGAGUGAAGCGGGAAGAGCUCAAAUUUGAAAUCUUCAAAGUUCUACCUUGACGAAUUGUAGUUUAUAGAAGUGUUUUCUGUUAGUGGAGUGGCAAAAGUUCUUUGGAAUAGGACAUCAUAGAGGGUGAGAAUCCCGUAUUUGGUCAUUCCUCCUAGCGUUGUGAUACACUUUCAACGAGUCGGAUUGUUUGGGAAUGCAGUCCAAAAUGGGUGGUAAAUUUCAUCUAAAGCUAAAUAUUGGCGAGAGACCGAUAGCGAACAAGUACCGUGAGGGAAAGAUGAAAAGAACUUUGAAAAGAGAGUUAAACAGUACGUGAAAUUGUCAAAAGGGAAGCGUUUGACACCAGUGUUGUUUUUCCGAAAAUCAAUUACGAAUGUUUUAUUUUUGAGGAGUUAUGACUUCAUCGGCUUGCUCCUUUCUUUAUGAAACUUUCUUAAUGCACUUUUCGGUUAACAAGUCAACAUCAAUUUCUUUUGUUGUAAAAGGGUAUGAGGAAGGUGGCUUUCUUUUCGGAGAAAGUGUUUAUAGCCUUUGUGCCUCUGCAAUCGGAGAGAUUGAGGUCUGCAGCGUAGAUCCUUCGGGGUUAGAUACAUUUGUGCUAAGUUAUAGCUUUUCAUAGACAACUUGUUGACUAUGUUUAGUCAUUGUAGCUUACUCGCUUACUGCUAUUUUACCUACGCUUAGGAUGUUGAUAUGCAUGACUGAUAU
RNAcentral lists this ribosomal RNA (777 nucleotides) under uncultured Neocallimastigales. RNAcentral's name for it is "partial large subunit ribosomal RNA". It matches the Rfam family "Eukaryotic large subunit ribosomal RNA", at positions 26 to 640 of the family's 3401-position model. The record is from RNAcentral. Lineage: Eukaryota; Fungi; Neocallimastigomycota; Neocallimastigomycetes; Neocallimastigales.